GAGUUAGAGGUUGCGUUUUUAAUCAGUAACAGUCCGGUAGCUAUUUGGGGCAUAUGUAGGAUUUGUGAAAGGUGAAGACGCCGAAACCAACAGUGACCAGAUGCGCUGUUGGUUGGGUCAGUUAUCGAAAGAAACUGGACUGUCACAUAUGUGAUGUGCUACC
This 163-nucleotide non-coding RNA is filed under the name Staphylococcus nepalensis. RNAcentral's name for it is "Lysine riboswitch". It matches the Rfam family "Lysine riboswitch aptamer". From Rfam's summary of the family: Riboswitches are metabolite binding domains within certain messenger RNAs that serve as precision sensors for their corresponding targets. Allosteric rearrangement of mRNA structure is mediated by ligand binding, and this results in modulation of gene expression. This family includes riboswitches that sense lysine in a number of genes involved in lysine metabolism, including lysC. Lineage: Bacteria; Bacillati; Bacillota; Bacilli; Caryophanales; Staphylococcaceae. The record is from RNAcentral.